RNAcentral lists this ribosomal RNA (427 nucleotides) under uncultured bacterium. RNAcentral's name for it is "partial 16S ribosomal RNA". It matches the Rfam family "Bacterial small subunit ribosomal RNA", at positions 355 to 774 of the family's 1533-position model. The record is from RNAcentral.
UGGGGAAUAUUGCACAAUGGGCGCAAGCCUGAUGCAGCCAUGCCGCGUGUAUGAAGAAGGCCUUCGGGUUGUAAAGUACUUUCAGCGAGGAGGAAGGCGUUGUGGUCAAUAACCGCAACGAUUGACGUUACUCGCAGAAGAAGCACCGGCUAACUCCGUGCCAGCAGCCGCGGUAAUACGGAGGGUGCAAGCGUUAAUCGGAAUUACUGGGCGUAAAGCGCACGCAGGCGGUCUGUCAAGUCGGAUGUGAAAUCCCCGGGCUCAACCUGGGAACUGCAUCCGAAACUGGCAGGCUAGAGUCUUGUAGAGGGGGGUAGAAUUCCAGGUGUAGCGGUGAAAUGCGUAGAGAUCUGGAGGAAUACCGGUGGCGAAGGCGGCCCCCUGGACAAAGACUGACGCUCAGGUGCGAAAGCGUGGGGAGCAAACA